This 1372-nucleotide ribosomal RNA is filed under the name uncultured bacterium. RNAcentral's name for it is "bacterial SSU rRNA". It matches the Rfam family "Bacterial small subunit ribosomal RNA", at positions 28 to 1381 of the family's 1533-position model. The record is from RNAcentral.
GAUGAACGCUAGCGACAGGCUUAACACAUGCAAGUCGAGGGGCAUCGGGGAGGCGGUUUCGGCCGCCUCCGCCGGCGACCGGCGCACGGGUGAGUAACACGUAUGCAACCUGGCCCGCGGACGGGGACAACCCGGGGAAACCCGGACUAAUACCCGGCGGGGCCUGGAGGGGGCAUCCCCUCCCGGCUGAAGGAGGCGACUCCGCCGCGGGAUGGGCAUGCGGCGCAUUAGCUUGUUGGCGGGGCAACGGCCCACCAAGGCGACGAUGCGUAGGGGUUCUGAGAGGAAGGUCCCCCACACUGGAACUGAGACACGGUCCAGACUCCUACGGGAGGCAGCAGUGAGGAAUAUUGGUCAAUGGGCGGAAGCCUGAACCAGCCAAGUCGCGUGAGGGAAUAAGGCCCUGCGGGUCGUAAACCUCUUUUGCCGGGGAGCAGUGGCGGGCACGGGUGCCCGCCGGGAGAGUACCCGGAGAAAAAGCAUCGGCUAACUCCGUGCCAGCAGCCGCGGUAAUACGGAGGAUGCGAGCGUUAUCCGGAUUUAUUGGGUUUAAAGGGUGCGCAGGCGGCCUUUCAGGCCGGCGGUAAAAUUGCGGGGCUCAACCCCGUAUAGCCGUCGGAACCGGAGGGCUGGAGUGGGCGAGAGGUACGCGGAACGCGUGGUGUAGCGGUGAAAUGCAUAGAUAUCACGCAGAACCCCGAUUGCGAAGGCAGCGUACCGGCGCCCUACUGACGCUGAGGCACGAAAGCGCGGGGAUCGAACAGGAUUAGAUACCCUGGUAGUCCGCGCAGUAAACGAUGAAUGCUCGCCGUCCGGCCCGAGUGAGGGCUGGGGGGCCAAGCGAAAGCGUUAAGCAUUCCACCUGGGGAGUACGCCGGCAACGGUGAAACUCAAAGGAAUUGACGGGGGCCCGCACAAGCGGAGGAACAUGUGGUUUAAUUCGAUGAUACGCGAGGAACCUUACCCGGGCUCAAACGCCCGCCGGACCGUCCCUGAAAGGGGUCGGGCCCUUCGGGGCGGCGGGCGAGGUGCUGCAUGGUUGUCGUCAGCUCGUGCCGUGAGGUGUCGGCUUAAGUGCCAUAACGAGCGCAACCCCCUCCGACAGUUGCCACCGGGUAGAGCCGGGCACUCUGUCGGGACUGCCGGCGCAAGCCGCGAGGAAGGCGGGGAUGACGUCAAAUCAGCACGGCCCUUACGUCCGGGGCGACACACGUGUUACAAUGGCGGCCACAGCGGGAAGCCACCUGGCGACAGGGAGCGGAACCCGAAAAGCCGCCCCAGUUCGGAUCGGAGUCUGCAACCCGACUCCGUGAAGCUGGAUUCGCUAGUAAUCGCGCAUCAGCCACGGCGCGGUGAAUACGUUCCCGGGCCU